RNAcentral lists this ribosomal RNA (701 nucleotides) under Bacillus sp. SKS31. RNAcentral's name for it is "bacterial SSU rRNA". It matches the Rfam family "Bacterial small subunit ribosomal RNA", at positions 693 to 1391 of the family's 1533-position model. Lineage: Bacteria; Bacillati; Bacillota; Bacilli; Caryophanales; Bacillaceae. The record is from RNAcentral.
GAGAUUUGGAGGAACACCAGUGGCGAAGGCGACUUUCUGGUCUGUAACUGACACUGAGGCGCGAAAGCGUGGGGAGCGAACAGGAUUAGAUACCCUGGUAGUCCACGCCGUAAACGAUGAGUGCUAAGUGUUAGAGGGUUUCCGCCCUUUAGUGCUGCAGCAAACGCAUUAAGCACUCCGCCUGGGGAGUACGGCCGCAAGGCUGAAACUCAAAGGAAUUGACGGGGGCCCGCACAAGCGGUGGAGCAUGUGGUUUAAUUCGAAGCAACGCGAAGAACCUUACCAGGUCUUGACAUCCUCUGACAAUCCUAGAGAUAGGACGUUCCCCUUCGGGGGACAGAGUGACAGGUGGUGCAUGGUUGUCGUCAGCUCGUGUCGUGAGAUGUUGGGUUAAGUCCCGCAACGAGCGCAACCCUUGAUCUUAGUUGCCAGCAUUCAGUUGGGCACUCUAAGGUGACUGCCGGUGACAAACCGGAGGAAGGUGGGGAUGACGUCAAAUCAUCAUGCCCCUUAUGACCUGGGCUACACACGUGCUACAAUGGAUGGUACAAAGGGCUGCAAGACCGCGAGGUUUAGCCAAUCCCAUAAAACCAUUCUCAGUUCGGAUUGCAGGCUGCAACUCGCCUGCAUGAAGCCGGAAUCGCUAGUAAUCGCGGAUCAGCAUGCCGCGGGUGAAUACGUUCCCGGGCCUUGUACACACC